This 324-nucleotide ribosomal RNA is filed under the name uncultured eukaryote. Its description in RNAcentral is "partial 18S ribosomal RNA". It matches the Rfam family "Eukaryotic small subunit ribosomal RNA", at positions 1470 to 1796 of the family's 1831-position model. The record is from RNAcentral.
CCCUUAGAUGAUCUGGGCCGCACGCGCGCUACACUGAUGCAUUCAACGAGUUUCUUCCUGGUCCGAGAGGAAUGGGUAACCUUUUGAAAGUGCAUCGUGAUAGGGAUAGACUAUUGCAAUUAUUGGUCUUCAACGAGGAAUUCCUAGUAGACGUAGUUCAUCAGACUGCAUCGAUUACGUCCCUGCCCUUUGUACACACCGCCCGUCGCUCCUACCGAUUGAAUGCUCAGGUGAGCCAUUCGGACUUUCAUCAUGCUGGUUUCCAGUUUUGAUGAAGGAAAGUCUUGCGAACCUUAUCAUUUAGAGGAAGGAGAAGUCGUAACA